RNAcentral lists this ribosomal RNA (425 nucleotides) under uncultured bacterium. Its description in RNAcentral is "bacterial SSU rRNA". It matches the Rfam family "Bacterial small subunit ribosomal RNA", at positions 356 to 773 of the family's 1533-position model. The record is from RNAcentral.
AGGGAAUCUUCCACAAUGGACGAAAGUCUGAUGGAGCAACGCCGCGUGAGUGAUGAAGGCCUUCGGGUCGUAAAGCUCUGUUGUUAGGGAAGAACAAGUAUCGGAGUAACUGCCGGUACCUUGACGGUACCUAACCAGAAAGCCACGGCUAACUACGUGCCAGCAGCCGCGGUAAUACGUAGGUGGCAAGCGUUGUCCGGAAUUAUUGGGCGUAAAGCGCGCGCAGGCGGUCCUUUAAGUCUGAUGUGAAAGCCCACGGCUCAACCGUGGAGGGUCAUUGGAAACUGGGGGACUUGAGUGCAGAAGAGGAAAGCGGAAUUCCACGUGUAGCGGUGAAAUGCGUAGAGAUGUGGAGGAACACCAGUGGCGAAGGCGGCUCUCUGGUCUGUAACUGACGCUGAGGCGCGAAAGCGUGGGGAGCAAAC